Long non-coding RNA from Daphnia magna, 2803 nucleotides. RefSeq lists it as uncharacterized. The transcript has 6 exons. NCBI's taxonomy places the organism in Eukaryota, Metazoa, Arthropoda, Branchiopoda, Diplostraca, Daphniidae. The record is from RefSeq and is a predicted model, not a curated record.
UAAACAAAGUUUCAAGUUUUCACGCGUGUGUUUUGAAAAAGUGAUACGUUAUUUUAAUUUAGAAUAAAUGAUUAGUUUUUAUUUCUAUUCAUAAAUCAAAUUGUUUAUGGUUAGAUGUCAGGGCGUAAAAGCAAGAGAAGACAAUUUCUCAAGAGUCUGAUGUAUGCAGAAGGAACCUUCAUCGCCCCCCAUUGAUUGUGAUUUAUCCACUCAGAACUCCAACAUGCAGCCGUAGCCUGCCAUACUGAAAAUGCAACUUUGACAGAAGAAGUGAAUACUUUGCUGCUCGACAAAGCCACCCUACAGGACCAAGUAAAGAAGUAAGAAGAGAUGAACCAAACUUUGGUGGGCCAAAAGAUUGAAUCGGUUCAGCAUUAGUAAUCGAUGGAAUGUCUACGCAAAGCAUUUAAGGAGGGAGACGAGUUUAUAGCCAAUGUAGCCAAAUCCUACAAUGAUAUGGGAGAAACACCUUUGCUGGUGGCAAUAAAAAACAGAACUUUCAGAACAGUCAAAUUCUUGGAUGUGCCUCCACUGUUUGCUGCUGUUAUAUCUAAUCAGCUACCUAUAAUAAUCUUAAGUAGCCAAACCACUAGACUGCAAAAAAUUAGCAUAUUGGAGCUGAUAGGUGCAGCCUAUACUUUGUUGGAACCAGGGCUUCGUUUUUGCACGGAUAUUCUUCCUGGAUGCAAGCGUUUCUUUUGCGCCAAUCUACAACUGACGGUGGUUCGAUAAUUCCAAAAAGUCCAUUGCAGCUCUAAAACUGAGGUUGCUACUGGGUGAAAGGGAGAAAUUUUUGUUGCACUCAACUCGUACAUUCGUGGAAUUCAAUGGUAUUUUACGAAGAUCUGCAGACUAGACGGAAGGUUGUCGAUAGGAAGUCGAUGCUUAUUGAUAACUCUAGCACAGAAACACGAUAGGGGACGUAUAGCCUGUAGAAAGCCAUUCAGUAGUGACUGGAACUCGACAUCGGGAUAUACUGCGUGCAUCUCCAAGAAUUUGAUACAUUCCAGAGCAGUUUCACCCUGCUCGUUAAUUUGGUCUUCAUGGUAUCCGGCCUCUAGAAAUGCCUGAACAGUGGUGCUGAAGUGUCGACCGUGAAGUGGGUUCCAUCUUCUAUCAUUCCACGGGAAAAGCGCACACUCUUGUAGGGCCAGUAAUGAAGAGGACUAUUCCGUUUUUCGUCCACGUAGUUGGGAUUUACCCCCAUCUGCAGCAGCAGCUUAAUCAUUUCAAACGUUGAGUCGGGUUUAAUCCGGACGGUACAAGCUUUUAGAAGAAGAAAUAUCAGUGUUGCAGGCCGAAAGGGACCGGUUGGCGUACCUGCUGAGCGUCGUGGAUGUUAAGUAAACCCUUGCACUACAUUUUUACCUUAAAAUCACAUUAAAGUGCAUUAAGUAUGUAUUUUAAGAAAUUUCAUAGGUAUAGUUACUAUAUAUAUAAUAUAAAUAUAAUACAUAUAUUUAUUAUAUAUAGCGCCCCUAGUGACCGAAGGCGAUAAUAAUAUUUUCACUCUCGAAGUGUAUAGGGGGUAAACUUCAAGGGAUAGGAAAGGUUUCCUAAUAAAAUAAUUUUUUAUGAAAACAAGAAAUAACGCUGUUAAAUAAAGAACGCCGGAUUUUUUAAGUGCAAAAAAAAUAUUUUUGCGUAGUUUAAAUUAUUUUUUUAUUUAUGAAAAACGCAGUUUUAACGUUACGCUUAUGGGGGGGGGGAGCUCGUGUACGUAAUCGAUGAACGAGUGUUUAGGAGCUCGGGGGUUACUCCUAGAAAAAAGUCUAGUGUGAGUGAUUUGUAGCUCUAUUGUUCUACUGAUCAGCAAAAAAAAAAUCUAGCUCUAGCCGUCAAAUAGUUAUUUGAGUUAUUUGAGGGACACACGUAGCACCAUUAGAAUUCAUGGAAAUAGAGGGGGUGUUCUUAUACAUUUGGUGGGUACUCUAAAUAUAUUAUAUAUAUAAUUAUAUAUUGUAUGAUAUAUUAUAUAUAGGCCAUAUAUUAUUAUGUAUAUUAUGGGAAAAAAUUAACUAUUAGUUUAACAUUUAUAUAUAUAUAUAUAUAUUUGUUUUCUUUGGUACAUAAAAAACAUAUUAAAUAGAUACUUACAGUAUUUAUUAUAUUCGUAAUAUCUUAAUUACAAUUAUUCUGUAUUCGUAUGAGACUUACCCAAGGUCAUACAAGCCAUGUUAACAGAAGGAAGCAGCUCAAGUUUUCGGAGAAGGUUUGUGUCGAUUUCAACCUCGUAGGCAUUAAUUCGUUCGUCGUGGCUUAUUCAAUUUUUAGCUCGAGCUGAUUUCUGUGUGUUCCCCACUUGUUCCAGGUCUCAAGAAGCAUCUACUGCUUGCAUUUUCGGGUUGGAUCCCGCUGCCUCAAUCAUUUCACCAUGAACUCGUGCUGGAGGUUCCUUAGAUUGUUCUUUGGCUGUGAUCAACACAAACUUCGUCGUUCGAAAGUGAGGUUUUCACAUCUUCUCUACUUUACUGGCAUUUCCAUGAGAGUAUUUACGCCCUAAUCGUCUCCAUCGUAAAUGACGAGAAUUUGGUUUGGGUAGUCGGGAUGCUCGUAUGCAUGUUUUAAAACCCAGUUGUAAAGGAAUCGUUGAGUUUCUUCUCGUGCAAUUCGUAAUUUAAACUAAUAUAUAAUAUUUUUUAUUUUGUUCACAGUAUUUUUUAACUCGCCGCCACGAGUACCCAUCCAUCCUCCAGUCAUAUUUAUAUUUCUUAUGUCUCCACUUAAUGAUGAAUUUUGCUUCUAUUGAUUUAAAAUAUAUGUCAUUCAUAAUACAACAGAAAAGCAAUUUUUUACACAAACA